Molecule: ribosomal RNA, 483 nt
Filed under: Triticum aestivum (bread wheat)
Lineage: Eukaryota; Viridiplantae; Streptophyta; Magnoliopsida; Poales; Poaceae
Description: partial small subunit ribosomal RNA
Source: RNAcentral
AUGCACUACAGGUGGCAUAUUAUUAAAAAGGCUGAGGUGACACUAGGACCAUUCUUUGCUGACCGUCCAGAGCUGCACAAGGCAUCCGAGUUGUGCAUGGACCACAGCUUGACGGCGGAGGAGUUUGAACGGAGCUGGAUGGCUAUGAUUUAAACAUACCAAGUCCAAGACAACGAGACACUUACUAGCCUGUGGGAGAAGCGAAUGUACCGGGUGCCGGCCUACUUCAUGCAGUGCUUCUUCCCAUUUCUGCAGACUACGCAGCGCAGCGAGGGGUUCAAUGUUGUUUUGAAGCGGUACGUGAGCCAUGACAACUCAUUGUUGCAGUUUGCCAAGCAAUACACAGCUUUGCAACAGAAAAUACUGGGAUCUGAGCUACAGCAAGAAGCAAACACCGCUCUCAAGCAGCCUAAAUUUCUAGCAUAUUUACUGAUGGAGAGGCAUAUGAGCAAUAUAUAUACCAACAAGAUUUUUAACGAGUAA